UACGGGGGGUGCGAGCGUUGUCCGGAAUCACUGGGCGUAAAGAGCGUGUAGGCGGCCAAGCAGGUCCGUUGUGAAAACUGGAGGCUUAACCUCCAGACGUCGACGGAAACCGCGUGGCUAGAGUCCGGAAGAGGAGAGUGGAAUUCCUGGUGUAGCGGUGAAAUGCGCAGAUAUCAGGAAGAACACCAAUGGCGAAGGCAGCUCUCUGGGACGGUACUGACGCUGAGACGCGAAAGCGUGGGGAGCAAACAGG
This 253-nucleotide ribosomal RNA is filed under the name uncultured bacterium. RNAcentral describes it as "partial 16S ribosomal RNA". It matches the Rfam family "Bacterial small subunit ribosomal RNA", at positions 524 to 776 of the family's 1533-position model. The record is from RNAcentral.